RNAcentral lists this ribosomal RNA (253 nucleotides) under uncultured bacterium. RNAcentral describes it as "partial 16S ribosomal RNA". It matches the Rfam family "Bacterial small subunit ribosomal RNA", at positions 524 to 776 of the family's 1533-position model. The record is from RNAcentral.
UACGGAGGGUGCAAGCGUUAUCCGGAUUCACUGGGUUUAAAGGGUGCGUAGGAGGGCAGGUAAGUCAGUGGUGAAAUCUCCAAGCUUAACUUGGAAACUGCCGUUGAUACUAUCUGUCUUGAAUACCGUGGAGGUGAGCGGAAUAUGUCAUGUAGCGGUGAAAUGCUUAGAUAUGACAUAGAACACCAAUUGCGAAGGCAGCUCGCUACACGAAUAUUGACUCUGAGGCACGAAAGCGUGGGGAUCAAUCAGG